Molecule: small RNA, 127 nt
Filed under: Marmota monax (woodchuck)
Lineage: Eukaryota; Metazoa; Chordata; Mammalia; Rodentia; Sciuridae
Source: RNAcentral
GUCGGGUGUGGUGGUGCACACCUGUAAUCCCAGCAGCUCAGGAGGCUGAGACAGGAGGAUUGCAAGUUAGAGGCCAGCCUCAGCAACCUCUGGAGACUGUAAGCCACCUAGUGAGACCCUGUCUUAA